GCAUUAAUUCUCCUUCCAAUUGGUAAACUCCCCCGGCGUUGAAUCCCCAGUCCUCCCAAGAGGAUGCCUUCAGAGCGAAGGGAGAUUUCCCAUACACUGAGCGCAGCCCUGCAAAUCAGCUUGGCCGGGGCUCCACGCUGGGUUGGAGCAGGAAGGAAGGAAGGAAGGAAUUCAGUGAGAACCAGCAAUGGAGAGAGGGACAGAUGGACAGGUAUCCCUUCCUGGCAGUUCCCGGAGGAGCUGGCUUUUCUGUGUCCCGCUUGCAUCAGCCCUGCCUGGUUAACCCAUAUGCGAAGAGGAGUCUGUAACCCUCAGAGAGGUCCUGCCUUCUGCUCCUUCGGUAGCCGAUCCGGAACAAGGUAGAAGAACUCCAGUUCUCUGUACCACGGGUGCGGAGGAAGCAAGGAAGGAACUCGGGUCCUUUUUCUGUUCCAGGGGGUCUUUUGACAGGCUCCUGGGCUAUCCCAGUCUCACGUGUGCAGGACUGGCUGCUGGCACUGGCCACUUCCAGGUGCCCCCACCCCUCUCCCUGUACUACGGCCCCUCUCCAGCCUCAAAAUCUACCUCCUGCUUGACAAAACCCCCGGUUCCCUCCAGCCUGUAAACCUCGUGUGCAAAUGUCCUGAC
Molecule: long non-coding RNA, 627 nt
Organism: Mustela lutreola (European mink)
Lineage: Eukaryota; Metazoa; Chordata; Mammalia; Carnivora; Mustelidae
Exons: 3
Source: RefSeq, a predicted model, not a curated record